This 253-nucleotide ribosomal RNA is filed under the name uncultured bacterium. Its description in RNAcentral is "partial 16S ribosomal RNA". It matches the Rfam family "Bacterial small subunit ribosomal RNA", at positions 524 to 776 of the family's 1533-position model. The record is from RNAcentral.
UACGUAGGAGGCGAGCGUUAUCCGGAUUCACUGGGCGUAAAGCGUGUGCAGGCGGUUUGGUUAGUUGGAUGUGAAAGCUCCUGGCUCAACUGGGAGAGGUCGUUCAAUACUGCCAGACUAGAGGACGGUAGAGGAGAGUGGAAUUCCCGGUGUAGUGGUGAAAUGCGUAGAUAUCGGGAGGAACACCAGUGGCGAAAGCGGCUCUCUGGGCCGUUCCUGACGCUAAGACACGAAAGCGUGGGGAGCGAACAGG